AGUGAACGCUGGCGGUAGGCCUAACACAUGCAAGUCGAACGGCAGCACAGUAAGAGCUUGCUCUUACGGGUGGCGAGUGGCGGACGGGUGAGGAAUACAUCGGAAUCUACUUUUUCGUGGGGGAUAACGUAGGGAAACUUACGCUAAUACCGCAUACGACCUACGGGUGAAAGCAGGGGAUCUUCGGACCUUGCGCGAUUGAAUGAGCCGAUGUCGGAUUAGCUAGUUGGCGGGGUAAAGGCCCACCAAGGCGACGAUCCGUAGCUGGUCUGAGAGGAUGAUCAGCCACACUGGAACUGAGACAAGGUCCAGACUCCUAAGGGAGGCAGCAGUGGGGAAUAUUGGACAAUGGGCGCAAGCCUGAUCCAGCCAUACCGCGUGGGUGAAGAAGGCCUUCGGGUUGUAAAGCCCUUUUGUUGGGAAAGAAAAGCAGCAGGUUAAUACCCCGCUGUUCUGACGGUACCCAAAGAAUAAGCACCGGCUAACUUCGUG
This 492-nucleotide ribosomal RNA is filed under the name uncultured bacterium. RNAcentral describes it as "partial 16S ribosomal RNA". It matches the Rfam family "Bacterial small subunit ribosomal RNA", at positions 29 to 507 of the family's 1533-position model. The record is from RNAcentral.